This 1104-nucleotide long non-coding RNA is filed under the name Androctonus crassicauda. Lineage: Eukaryota; Metazoa; Arthropoda; Arachnida; Scorpiones; Buthidae. The record is from RNAcentral.
AAUUAAAUUGUAAUGAGUUUUUUAAUAAUGUUAUUCUGAUUUAUUAUUUUUUAAUCAUCAUACUAACUAUAAUUUGAUUUUUUUAUAAUAAUUGAUUAAUAUCAAAUAUGUUAAUAUAAAUUUGAACAUUUUCAUGUUGAUAAUUAAUAACAAUAUAUAAAUACACCUAGUUCUCGUAAUUAUGCAGAGGUGAUUUUUGAAAAUAAUUACAUAAAUUGAAAAUAUACAAAAUGAGAAUUUUUUAAUUUUAAUAUGUAUUUCAGUGAUAUGAAUAUGAAUUUUCUGUAUUGUGGUACAGAAAAUUCUUGUAGUUAUGUAGAUCAUUCUUAUCAGUCUCACUUGAAGCCAUGUGCCAUCUACCAAAGCUGUUAUGGAUUAUCCCCUGGUAAAAUUUUCCUUCAGUUUAAUCUUCACAAGUCUCUCUUUCUGGCCACUAUUGAUCAUCUCACACUAAAAUAUGAUAGUACUGUCAAGAAAAAGCAAGGUAAAGACAUGAGGAAGAAUUGAAAAUAUGUAUUAACUUGCUGUCAUAUACAUAAUAGUGUGGUGACUAAGCAUAUUGUCUUGAUGAUACAAAGAAAAAAGUGUGAUAUCAAACUAUUGUUAUUUCUUUUGCUUAAUACGUUUUCAGAUUCUGAUCAUGUCAGUCUUUAUAUAAACAAUAAGUAUCGUACUUUCAUGAUUAUUAGGGUUACCAUUCAUCCUGAAUUUUCUGGGACAGUCUUGGUUUUUGAUACAUUUUUUUGCAUUAAUAAAUAUCCUAGAUUUUAAAAUACAUCCCUUUUUCAAGAUGAAAGUCUGUUAUUUUUUGAAAUUUGCAUGCAAAAUCAAUUAGAUUUGGUGAUGUUUUGAAAUUCAGGUUCAAAACAUAUGUUAAAUCAACAUUGUCAAGUCUAUGCUGAUAGUGCCAUGGUAUUUUACUGUUCAAAUUCUUUAGUUCCAGCUCAAUAUGAGAUGGCUUUCAGGUAUUAUGAUUAAGUUUAAGAAAUCGGUUUAUUGUACAAGUGUCCUUUAGUUUAUUUAUAUUCUGAAUAAUGAGAAGCAUAAAUUCUAUAUCACUUUUCAUUUUGCAAAGAAAAAUUUUCGUUUUUAUGAAGAAACUAU